Molecule: ribosomal RNA, 424 nt
Filed under: uncultured prokaryote
Description: bacterial SSU rRNA
Rfam family: Bacterial small subunit ribosomal RNA
Source: RNAcentral
UGGGGCAUAUUGGACAAUGAGCGCAAGCUUGAUCCAGCCAUGCCGCGUGAGUGAUGACGGCCCUAGGGUUGUAAAGCUCUUUCAACGGUGAAGAUAAUGACGGUAGCCGUAGAAGAAGCCCCGGCUAACUUCGUGCCAGCAGCCGCGGUAAUACGAUGGGGGCUAGCGUUGUUCGGAAUAACUGGGCGUAAAGCGCACGUAGGCGGAUUGUUAAGUGAGGGGUGAAUUCCCAGGGUUCAACCCUGGAACUGCCUUUCAUACUGGCAAUCUUGAGUUCGAGAGAGGUGAGUGGAAUUCCGAGUGUAGAGGUGAAAUUCGUAGAUAUUCGGAGGAACACCAGUGGCGAAGGCGGCUCACUGGCUCGAAACUGACGCUGAGGUGCGAAAGCGUGGGGAGCAAACAGGGUUAGAUACCCCGGUAGUCC